RNAcentral lists this ribosomal RNA (261 nucleotides) under uncultured archaeon. RNAcentral describes it as "partial 16S ribosomal RNA". It matches the Rfam family "Archaeal small subunit ribosomal RNA", at positions 748 to 1009 of the family's 1478-position model. The record is from RNAcentral.
UAGCCGUAAACGAUACUCGCUAGGUGUCGGCCACGGUGCGACCGUUGUCGGUGCCGUAGGGAAGCCGUGAAGCGAGCCACCUGGGAAGUACGGCCGCAAGGCUGAAACUUAAAGGAAUUGGCGGGGAGCACCACAACGGGUGGAGCUUUGCGGUUUAAUUGGAUUCAACGCCGGAAAUCUUACCGGGACCGACAGCAACAUGAAGGCCAGGCUGAAGACUUUGCCGGAUUAGCUGAGAGGUGGUGCAUGGCGUAGUCGUGU